UCUUAUAAUACAGAGAUAGAUUUUUGUUUUAUUUUUAAUAUAUUUUUUCUAUAAAACACGUUUCCCCUAAGGAGAAAAAAAAAAUUAACCUACCCCUUUUAUAUUGCAUCUCAAAUAAAAAACUUCACUAUUAUUUUCUUCUCUAAUUUUUUUUCCCAAUCGGACGAUUAACCAAAAAAGCGCAUCGUCUUCUUCCUUUGGAAUCGGCACUUUUUUUCACCUUCAACUCGGCUUAUCUUAGCCACCGGCGCCGAUUCAAAAGGCCCGAACCACCUUGAAACCCGUAAAACCGGGAGAGACCCGAGUGAAAACGGUCUCUUCGUUUUCAAAAAAAUUGGCGGCCGGUUUUCUUUAAUUUUACCGGCGAUUUAAAAGGUUCUUAGCAAAGAUUGUGAAGCUUCUUUUUAUUCCGUCAAUCUUUUUGCAUAAUUUGUAAAGAGGGGAGUUCUAUGCCUAGGAUUUUCAAGUGAGAGGAUGGCAUGUUUUAGAAACUACUCAAAUGACACAAUCUCACAUGAUGCCUUGGAAGGCAAAAGCCAGGGACGGAACAGUGGUAGGAUUCUGAGCUCAGCAGAGAACGAGGACAUAGAUGGUACUUAUAGUGAAAGAGAAUUUGAUAUUAACAUGGAUGCACAGUAUCAAAGUGAUGGGGUUGGCAUUUCAAAUUCAGAGCAGAGUAGGCUGCAUCAUGAGGUGGCUACUGAUAAUGGUGCUGGCAUUUCAAAUUCCAAUUUUCAGCCAGCAGGAAGGAGAAUAGCACCUGGGAGAUGGGGUUCAACUUUUUGGAAGGACUGCCAGCCUAUGGAUCGCCAGGGUGGAUCUGAUUCUGGGCAGGAGUCAAAAUCUGACCAUAAGAAUUUGGAAGGUUCAGUAUAUAAUUCAUCAGAUGACAGGGAUGAUAGGUUAGAAUCAGAAGUUGACGAGGCACAAAAAGAAGUUGGCAAGUCUCAAAGGGGUCAUUCUGAUGUCCCUGCAGAUGAGAUGUUAUCUGAUGAAUACUAUGAACAAGAUGGGGAAGAGCAGAGUGAUACAAUGCAUUACAGUGGCUUUGGCAAUUCUGUCGGGUUAAAUACUAGGCCACAGUCAAAGCAUGUCUCUGUCAGUACCAAUGUGUCCAGGAGUUCAAGAGCAUUGAAUAAGCGUAACUAUGACAAUGAAGAUGAUAAUGACGACAACAAUGAUGAUGUAGAUGCAGAUUAUGAAGAGGAGGAAGAAGAAGAUGAAGAUGACCCUGAUGAUGUCGAUUUUGAGCCUGACUAUGGUCUUGCCAAUUCUCAUGCAGGGAAUAAGGAUAAAGACUGGGAUGGUGAAGAUUCUGAGGAAGAAGACAAUAGUCAUGGUGAUUUAGAUGUUUCAGAUGAAGAUGAUUCUUAUUAUAAAAAGAAACCUAAAGGUAGGCAACAGAUUAAAGUUGGACCUAAUGUAAAACCCACUAGAGAACAUAAGUCCUCCAAUCGACAAAGAAGAGGGAGAUCAUCUUUUGAGGAGGAUGAGUACUCAGCCGAGGAUUCUGAUAGUGAAAGCGAUGGGGAUUUCAAGAGUAUGGCAAGGAGAAGUGGAAAUAAUCAUAAAAUUAAUGCUCGUUCUAAUACAUUGACAAGCAUGGGAAGAAACAAUGAGGUUCGUACUUCUGGUAGGUCUGUUCGGAAAGUAUCAUAUGUUGAGAGUGAAGAAAGUGAAGAAAUUGAUGAAGGCAAGAAAAAAAAGACACGAAAGGAUGAAGCUGAAGAGGAAGAUGGUGACACAAUUGAAAAAGUGUUAUGGCAUCAACCAAAGGGCAUGGCUGAAGAUGCUAUUAGAAACAAUAGAUCUACAGAGCCUGUUUUAUUAAGCCACUUGUUUGUCUCUGAACCAGAUUGGAGCGAAAUGGAAUUCCUGAUAAAAUGGAAAGGCCAGUCACAUCUUCAUUGUCAGUGGAAAUCUAUUUCUGAGCUGCAAAAUCUUAGUGGUUUUAAGAAGGUUCUAAAUUACACUAAAAAGGUGAUGGAGGAUGUGAGAUACAGGAAGUCACUUUCACGUGAGGAGAUUGAAGUCAAUGAUGUGAGUAAGGAAAUGGACUUGGAUCUAAUCAAGCAAAAUAGUCAGGUGGAGAGAGUAAUUGUUGAUCGAAUCAGUAAAGAUGCCUUUGGGAAUGUGAUGUCAGAGUAUUUAGUCAAGUGGCAGGGAUUGUCUUAUGCAGAAGCAACCUGGGAAAAGGAUAUUGAUAUUCCAUUUGCUCAAGAUGCUAUUGAUGAGUAUAAGGCUCGUGAAGCUGCAAUGGCUGUGCAGGGGAAAAUGGUAGAUCACCAGCGUAAGAAGGGAAAAGCAAGUUUGCGGAAACUUGAUGAACAGCCAGAAUGGUUAAGGGGAGGAAAGCUUCGUGAUUAUCAGCUGGAGGGUUUGAAUUUUCUUGUCAACAGUUGGAGAAAUGAUACUAAUGUCAUCUUAGCUGAUGAGAUGGGUCUUGGUAAAACUGUGCAGUCUGUAUCUAUGCUUGGUUUUCUACAGAAUGCUCAACAAAUACCCGGCCCGUUUCUUGUGGUCGUACCAUUAUCCACACUGUCAAACUGGGCUAAAGAAUUUAGAAAGUGGCUUCCUGAUAUGAACAUUAUUGUAUAUGUUGGUACUCGUGCCAGCCGAGAGGUUUGUCAGCAAUAUGAAUUUUACAAUGACAAGAAAAUUGGCAGACCUAUAAAAUUUAAUGCCCUGCUGACUACUUAUGAAGUAGUUCUGAAGGAUAAAGCAGUACUGUCUAAGAUAAAAUGGAACUAUUUGAUGGUUGAUGAAGCUCAUAGGUUGAAGAAUAGUGAGGCGCAGUUGUACACAACUCUUUCGGAAUUUAGCACUAAGAACAAGUUGCUAAUUACUGGAACUCCAUUACAAAACAGUGUGGAGGAGCUAUGGGCUCUGCUUCAUUUCCUUGAUCCCGACAAGUUCAAAAAUAAGGAUGAUUUUGUUCAAAAUUACAAGAAUCUUAGUUCGUUUAAUGAAAUUGAGCUUGCUAAUCUUCACAUGGAAUUGAGGCCUCACAUUCUUCGAAGGGUUAUCAAAGAUGUAGAGAAGUCUUUGCCUCCAAAAAUUGAGCGUAUCCUUAGGGUUGAGAUGUCCCCACUUCAGAAACAGUAUUAUAAGUGGAUUUUGGAACGCAACUUCCAUGACUUAAAUAAAGGUGUUCGUGGCAAUCAGGUGUCGCUUUUAAAUAUAGUAGUCGAGCUGAAGAAAUGCUGCAAUCAUCCCUUCCUGUUUGAAAGUGCUGAUCAUGGUUAUGGUGGGGACACUGGCAUGAAUGAUAUUAGUAAACUGGAGAGAAUUAUAUUAAGCAGUGGGAAGCUUGUUAUACUUGACAAGUUGCUUAUGAGGUUGCAUGAAACGAAGCAUCGUGUUUUAAUCUUUUCCCAGAUGGUUAGAAUGCUGGAUAUAUUAGCCGAGUACAUGUCACUCAGAGGGUUCCAAUUCCAGAGGCUUGAUGGUAGUACAAAGGCGGAGUUGCGGCAGCAGGCUAUGGAUCAUUUCAAUGCACCUGGAAGUGAUGAUUUUUGCUUCCUUCUUUCUACUCGGGCUGGUGGGCUCGGUAUCAACCUGGCAACUGCAGACACUGUCAUAAUAUUUGAUUCUGACUGGAACCCCCAGAAUGACUUACAGGCAAUGAGUAGAGCUCACAGAAUUGGGCAACAAGAAGUUGUCAACAUUUACAGAUUUGUGACUAGCAAAAGUGUUGAGGAAGACAUCCUGGAGCGAGCUAAGAAGAAGAUGGUGCUUGACCAUUUGGUGAUCCAAAAGUUAAAUGCAGAGGGUAGACUGGAAAGAAAGGAAACAAAGAAAGGGGCUUAUUUUGACAAGAAUGAAUUAUCAGCAAUUUUGAGAUUUGGAGCUGAAGAAUUGUUCAAAGAGGAUAAAAAUGAUGAAGAAAGCAAAAAAAGGCUGUUAAGUAUGGAUAUUGAUGAAAUUCUUGAAAGAGCAGAAAAGGUUGAGGAGAAAGUCAGUGAAGAGGAAGGGAAUGAAUUGUUGAGUGCUUUUAAGGUUGCAAAUUUCUGUAGUGCUGAAGAUGAUGGGUCUUUCUGGAGUCGUUGGAUAAAACCAGAUGCCAUUGCCCAAGCAGAAGAUGCUCUAGCUCCUCGUGCUGCAAGAAAUACCAAGAGUUAUGCUGAGACAAGUCAACCUGAGAGAAGUAACAAAAGAAAGAAGAAGGGAUCUGAUCUUCAAGAGCAGCAGGAGAGAGUUCCAAAGCGCCGUAAAGCAGAAUACUCUGCCCCCUCGGCACCAAUGAUUGAGGGAGCAACUGCUCAAGUGAGAGGAUGGUCUUAUGGGAAUUUGCCUAAGAGAGAUGCAUUGCGUUUUUCUCGAGCGGUUAUGAAAUUCGGGAAUGAGAGCCAAGUCACUUUGAUAGCAGAGGAAGUUGGUGGUGCUGUUGCAGCAGCUCCACUUGAUGCGCAGAUUGAGCUCUUCAAUGCGCUAGUUGAAGGAUGCAGGGAAGCUGUUGAAUUAGGAAAUAUAGAACCUAAGGGACCAUUAUUAGAUUUCUUUGGUGUUCCUGUUAAGGCAAAUGAUCUGAUUAAUCGUGUCCAAGAACUUCAGCUCUUAGCAAAACGAAUAAGUCGAUACGAGGAUCCCAUAAAACAGUUCCGUGUGUUGAUGUACCUUAAACCCUCUAAUUGGUCUAAAGGGUGUGGGUGGAAUCAGAUUGAUGAUGCAAGAUUGCUUCUGGGAAUAUACUACCAUGGAUUUGGUAAUUGGGAAAAGAUAAGAUUAGAUGAAAGGCUUGGCCUCACAAAGAAGAUUGCUCCUGCUGAACUUCAGCACCAUGAAACCUUUCUGCCACGUGCACCUAAUUUGAAGGAGCGUGCUAAUGCACUCUUGGAAAUGGAACUUGCAGCUGUUGGUGGUAAGAAUGCUGGUGUCAAAGCUGGUCGUAAACCUUCAAAGAAGGAAAAGCAGAAUCCUCUAAACGUAUCUAUAUCUCGUGUCAGAGACAAGAAAGGUAAACCGGGUUCUACUAAGGUCAGUUUUAAAAUGGGUAGGGACAAAACCGAGAGACCACAGAAAGUUGAACCUUUAGUUAAAGAAGAAGGUGAAAUGUCUGACAACGAGGAAGUAUAUGAGCAGUUUAAGGAAGUGAAGUGGAUGGAAUGGUGUGAAGAUGUUAUGAUUGAUGAAAUAAAAACCCUUCGUCGGCUCCAAAGAUUGCAGACUACUAGUGCAGAUCUUCCCAAGGAUAAGGUACUUUCGAAAAUUCGGAACUAUUUGCAGCUUCUUGGAAGGAGGAUAGAUCAAAUUGUCUUAGAACAUGAAGACGAGCUCUAUAGACAAGAUCGGAUGACCAUGCGUUUAUGGAACUAUGUCUCUACAUUUUCAAAUCUUUCUGGUGAGAGGCUUCAUCAGAUUUAUUCGAAGCUUAAGCAGGAACAGGACGAUGAUGGAGGUGUUGGACCUUCCCAUAUGAACGGUUCCACACCUGGCCAUGUUGAUAGAGACGGUGAUCCUAAUUUCUUCCCUCCUUUUUCACGUUCUACCGAUAAGCAACGAGGGUAUAAGAAGAAUGCAACGGCACAUCAAACAUCACAACCGAUUCAUAAAGGCAUCGAUACCGCAAAGUUUGAAGCUUGGAAACGAUGGAGAGCAGAAACGGUUAACCAUCCUCAACUUCAACCCCCAACUCAAAGACCUCUGAACAAUGGUAGUACUCGUGUAGUAGACCCAAACUCAUUGGGGAUUCUUGGGGCAGGACCAUCUGAUAAACGUCUUGUUAAUACCGAACGGCCAUUUCGGAUGCGUCAAACUGGAUUUCCACAAAGGCAAGGUUUUCCCUCAGGCAUCAAGUAAAAGCUUUUAAGCACUGUGCUGGAUGAUAGUCGAUAGAAAAUGAAAUACGCCGAUUUGCUUCGACCAUGUGGCAUUGACUGCUUCAGCCAUUGAAUACUUUCAGCGAUUCUUUUUUCACCAUGGGAAUAAAAAUCUGCUAUCCGAAUCUUUAUGGCUGGAUCGGACAAGUUAUCCACCAGAUGGGAGUUGCAUCGAUGUAAAAAGACGGCUCAUGAAGAACACAAAAGAUCGACUAACAUGAGCAGACAGGGAAUUGCAGUGACCUCGCAACCAUUUUUUUCUCCGACCUUUUUUGUUUUCCGAACCUUCGGUAGCAUAAUUGAUACAGCAAGGGGGUUCUUUGUCCCUGUGGAGAUCUGAGUGACAGUUUUUGAGAAUUUCAGAGGUCAUGGAAAAAUAGAUUUUGUAUCAUUACAACAUAUGUCAAGUGGAAGUGCGUUGAUGUAUGCAGCCAAGGCUUCUUAUUAAAUCAAUUGAUUUGAACCUUAUUUUUACAUGACCCGAUCAAUUCGACCAAGUGUUCAUUAUUUAUUUCCAUUGUUAAACUCUUUGAUUACAUAAACUUUGAGUUUAUCAGUUAUUAAAGAAAGUAUGGAAUUGAUCGGUUAAA
Gossypium arboreum is the source of this 6409-nucleotide RNA transcript. It is a transcript of the gene named protein CHROMATIN REMODELING 5, with no coding region annotated. The record is from RefSeq and is a predicted model, not a curated record. Lineage: Eukaryota; Viridiplantae; Streptophyta; Magnoliopsida; Malvales; Malvaceae. The transcript is spliced from 32 exons.